This 353-nucleotide long non-coding RNA is filed under the name Bos taurus (domestic cattle). RNAcentral's name for it is "long non-coding RNA NONBTAT023729". Lineage: Eukaryota; Metazoa; Chordata; Mammalia; Artiodactyla; Bovidae. The record is from RNAcentral.
GGUUGUAGUGUUAUACAGUUUAUUGAUCUGGUAAAGUGAGGGCCAAGGAAGAAACUCAUAGACAUCUGAAAAAUAUAAAACAUGAUGCUUUUCCAGGAUUCAGUUUUGAAUCAUUAGAUAGUCCCUCUGCCUCUUGGAAUGGACCAUUUCCCCUAGAUUUUGAAAACUGAAUAUGUUUACAAAGAAGAAAAGAGGCAAGGUACAGUAAACUCCUUGUUAUUUAAAUUUCAUGUAUUUAAUUAUAAUAUGUUUUUGUUCUGAAGAGUUCACAUAUAUGAUUGCAUACUUUUAAAGUAUGAACAGCUCCGGAAAGCUCAAAAAUUGACUUAUUAUUAUAAAGUGCUCAUUUGUUA